Long non-coding RNA from Delphinapterus leucas (beluga whale), 2497 nucleotides. RefSeq lists it as uncharacterized. The record is from RefSeq and is a predicted model, not a curated record. Lineage: Eukaryota; Metazoa; Chordata; Mammalia; Artiodactyla; Monodontidae.
GCUCUUAAGAUGGACCAUUACUUUACAUAUUAGUAAGAAAGAAAAAAAGGUGAAAUGAUAAUUAUAAGACACUAGCAAUUGUAAAACACAUACCUCUCAAGGAUGUGAGAAAAUGAGCAUCCAACGAAAUAGGCAUCUGAUAAAUGCUAGCAAGACAAAGGACACCUAAUCGGAAGUUAGUCUAUAAUUCAGGAUACUUAACCACUAACGUCAGAAAUACAUUAAAUGUAAAAAUUUGAAAAGUGAAAGUGAUUCACCACAACACUGUCUGUAGCGUCCUAAAAUAAAUUAGUGCCUUAAAAUUUUUCUGAUUCUCCCCCUCCCCGCAAAUGAUCAAUUCAUAACAUACUUGUUUUCUUUAUUCCUUCUUUCCAAGGCACUUUAGGUCUCCAUCCUAAGCCAUGUAUUUUUUCUGAUUUCAUUGGAUAUCUCAUGUCAUUGGUAGGUCUUGGAAAACAAAACAGAUUUAAAAUGAUACUGUGGAUAUAAAUUUACAAAUGUAUUUAUUUUUGGCCCUGCUGCAUGGCUUGAGGGAUCUUCGUUCCCAGACUAGGGAUUGAACUCAGGCCCUCGGCAGUGAAAGCGUGGAGUCCUAACCACUGGACCACCAGGAAAUUCCCUAUUUACAAACUUAAAUAUUGAGAGAAAUAAUGUGUGUCCAUAAUUCAAAUUUUCUCUCAAAAAAUUCUCCCUGCUGACACACUUAUAUAUUUGUAAAAUAAAGUAUAUGUUAAAAAUCCUCUAUAACCCAGAAGCCUAACCCUCUCUGUGGCUUACCCUUUUCUCAUUUCAACCACAAUCUAGGUAUGAAUGCAAUGUGUCAUACCUAAAUGUUUGAUGAAUGAAUGAAUAAAUACACAUAAACUUGUUAGGACUCAUGUUCCAUGCCCUGGGUCUGGUAGUUUAUAUACAUUAUAAAUUUUAAAAUACUUCCAUAGGCAAGAUAUUAUUAUCCCUAUUUCACACUCAAGGAAAUCUCAGACUUGGAAAGGGUAAAUAACUUUCUUUAAGUCACACAGCUAAUAAUAAUGCUACAGUUUAUUGUUAUGACAUUUAUUAUCAGGAAAAAACAUUCUAGCAGAAAACUCAAAAAAGGUAAACUUUUCUGGCUAAGUCCAUACAUUUUAAAAUCUUAUAAGUACCUAAGAUUUCACAACCUUUCCCCGAUAUUUUAACUUGUUACUCACCUAUCAUUAACAUAAUCAACCCAGUUUUCCAUUUCAGACUCUGAAUUGGUCUCUUUGAUCUGUCAAAAUGGAGAAGACCUUCCAGUCAAAUUAUAAAGUGAGACCAGAAAAUGGUAUUCAACAACUGAUUCAAAAGACAAGAAAAACAACCUCCUCCAAGUGGCCUGACAUAUGGUCUGACUGCAUACUAGGAAGGAGUCUUCACUGGUGUGACAGCAGUGAUGGGAGUACUCUAUAGUGUUUUAGAAUCCUGCAAAGUACAAGGCAUUUCACAUACAUCAUCUCACUGGACUCUUCAAAAUCCUUCCUAAGUAUUAUCAUUACCCGUCGAUUUAAAGACAAUGCUCAAAGGACCUAAGGUCAUCCCAGCUGAGACCACCUGAGAUGUUAAACUUCAAGUUGGCUUUCUCUGUUGGACCAACCCUUACAAAUAAAAAGAGCAUCCGUGGAGGGAAAAGACCAGUGCUACUGGAACACAAAAGGCUAGAGAAGCUGAAGCAAUCCCUUGGUUCGCCUUUCUGACCCAGUCCCUAAUAAUUCGGGAAGAUCAGUGGGAAGCCAAGUGCAGGGGUUCCAGCUGAUGAUUCAUAGUGGGCAAGGCUCCUGCACGGACACUGACACAGCCACUGGGGUAAAUCUAUCUCCUUUUCAUGAGGGGCCAAGAGGAGCAGUGGCUGGUAAGGGAAUCUGCCCUCCCACUGUCUUCCUUCACUCAGAGGACUCCUGGGAAUCAGGACAUUCCAACAGGGCUUUUCACUCUAGCUGUAACACUCUACCUAUUAGUGAAGCAGAAAAAAAUAUAUACAUAAAUUAUUCCUUUAAAUGAUGAACUGGAUAAGAAGCAGGUCCCUGCUUUGUCCACACAAUAUUGGAAAUCAGUUUUUAAAAUUCCUUAAUAUAUAACUUUUCUUAAUCUAUGUCUGCCAUCCUAAAAAUGAAAUGUUGCUAAUGCUAACUUGGCGUUUUAACACCUAAGUCCAAAGAAAAAUGAUUCUGGAGUUUCUGAGGUCAGUUCUUACCCUGUAUCGUUCCCAGUAAGACUGUACAAAACACUCAGCAGCUGCUUUAGAUGAUGCAUAAGGAUUUGUAGGUUGUUUGGGAGAAGAUUCAUCAAAUUCCUAAUUUUAAAAAGACAUAUUAAAAAAUAAGUAUAAGGUAUACUUUCUAAGUAGAAAAAUCGGAGAACAUAUUACAAACUUGAAAUGUAAAUCAGUACAUUUAAAAAACAUUUAUUGAGGACGUCCCUGGUGGUGCAGUGGUUAAGAAUCCUGCCAAUGCAGGGGAUACGGGUUCGAUCCCUGGUCCAGGAA